RNAcentral lists this transfer RNA (81 nucleotides) under Prymnesium neolepis. Lineage: Eukaryota; Haptophyta; Prymnesiales; Prymnesiaceae. The record is from RNAcentral.
GGCGCUGCCGUUAUUGGCCUGGUGAUUCUCAGGCUGGGUAUCGGUCAGGGGCUGCAAAUUGGCCUCUGGGCAUUGUUGCCG